This 341-nucleotide ribosomal RNA is filed under the name uncultured bacterium. Its description in RNAcentral is "partial 16S ribosomal RNA". It matches the Rfam family "Bacterial small subunit ribosomal RNA", at positions 338 to 695 of the family's 1533-position model. The record is from RNAcentral.
CCUACGGGAGGCUGCAGUGGGGGAUAUUGCACAAUGGGGGGAACCCUGAUGCAGCGACGCCGCGUGGGUGAAGGAGCGUUUCGGCGCGUAAAGCCCUAUCGGCAGGGAAGAAGAAGGACGGUACCUGACUAAGAAGCCCCGGCUAACUACGUGCCAGCAGCCGCGGUAAUACGUAGGGGGCAAGCGUUAUCCGGAUUUACUGGGUGUAAAGGGGGCGCAGACGGCAGCGCAAGCCAGGAGUGAAAGCCCGGGGCCCAACCCCGGGACUGCUCUUGGAACUGCGCGGCUGGAGUGCAGGAGGGGCAGGCGGAAUGGCGGGGGUGGGGGGGAAAGGCGGAGAG